AUGGACCACCACCAGCACCAGCAGCCGCCGUCGCCGGCGGACGCCAAUUCGAAGCCGCCGACGCCGUCGAGCACGCACGCCUCGCGCCACGCCUCCGGAGCGGCGCUCUCCUGGCCGCCCUCCUCCGCCGAGGGCGCCCCGGCGCGCGGUCCGGCGUCGUCGUCCGCCUCCUCGGCCCCGGCCACGCCGGCCUCCCGCACCGUCUACAGCGACCGCUUCAUCCCCAGCCGCACUGGAUCCAACCUCGCGCUCUUCGACCUCGCCCCCGCCCCCUCCUCCUCCUCCGGAUCUGCCGCCGCGGCCGCGCCCCCCUCGCCCUACUGCGCGCUCCUCCGCGCGGCGCUCUUCGGGCCCGACACGCCCGACCGCCUCGCCUCCUCCGCCGGGGCCUCCUCCUCCUCCGCGGCCUCGCCCGUCGGGUCCCCGGCCGGCGGCAACAUAUUCCGGUUCAAGGCCGAGGUGCCGCGGAACGCCAAGAGGGCGCUCUUCGCCGGCGGGGACGACCAGGACCUCCUCUUCCCAGGCAUCUUCACCCCCAAGGGCUCCGGCCCCAGGAAGAUCCCGAGGUCGCCCUACAAGGUGCUGGAUGCGCCCGCAUUGCAGGACGACUUCUACCUCAACCUCGUGGAUUGGUCUUCGCACAAUGUCCUCUCGGUCGGAUUGGGGAAUUGCGUCUACCUGUGGAAUGCAUGCAGCAGCAAGGUCACCAAGCUCUGCGAUUUGGGGGCGGACGACACCGUUUGUUCCGUCAGUUGGGCGCAGCGUGGCACCCACCUUGCUGUAGGGACUAACCAAGGCACCGUCCAGAUAUGGGAUGCAACACGCUGUAAAAGAAUGAGAACCAUGGAAAGCCAUCGCAUGCGAGUAGGUGCUCUUGCCUGGAACUCUUCAUUGCUUUCUUCUGGCAGUCGUGACAAGAACAUCCUUCACCAUGAUCUCCGUGCUCCGGAGGACUAUGUUAGCAAACUCACCGGGCAUAAAUCUGAGGUCUGUGGGCUCAAGUGGUCUUAUGAUAACCGCCAGCUUGCAUCUGGUGGAAACGACAACAAACUUUUUGUUUGGAAUCAACAUUCAGUACAGCCAGUGCUGAAGUAUACUGAGCACACAGCAGCUGUGAAAGCUAUUGCCUGGUCACCUCAUCUACAUGGCCUUCUUGCAUCUGGUGGUGGAACUGCAGAUAGAUGCAUAAGAUUUUGGAAUACGACCACAAAUACACACUUGAGUUCCAUGGAUACAGGGAGUCAGGUGUGUAAUCUUGUGUGGUCAAAGAACGUGAAUGAGCUUGUUAGCACCCACGGAUACUCCCAGAAUCAGAUAAUAGUGUGGCGGUAUCCAACGAUGUCAAAGCUUGCCACGUUGACAGGACAUACAUUCAGAGUAUUAUAUUUAGCCAUCUCCCCUGAUGGACAGACAAUUGUUACUGGUGCUGGUGACGAGACGCUCCGGUUUUGGAACGUGUUUCCGUCUCCCAAGUCCCAGAGUUCCGACAGCUUAAGUAGCAUUGGAGCGACAUCAUUUGUUAGGAGCUACAUCCGGUGA
RNAcentral lists this ribosomal RNA (1539 nucleotides) under Triticum aestivum (bread wheat). RNAcentral describes it as "partial small subunit ribosomal RNA". The record is from RNAcentral. Lineage: Eukaryota; Viridiplantae; Streptophyta; Magnoliopsida; Poales; Poaceae.